AAUCUGGGAGCCACUGGCGGCCGGCUCCGCGCCUCGUUGCCGGGUGCAGCGCAGCUCAGCGCAGUGCAACACGACUGCCUUUCUGCAGCAGAGUGGUGGGGUCUGUUCAGGACAAAGGUGUGAGCAGACUACAGGGCUGGCUGGUUCAUCAUGGCGGAGAAAGUGAACAACUUCCCACUGCUGCCCAAAUUCAUUCUGCUGAAGCCAUGUUUCUACUAAGAUUUCGAGGCAGAUACUCCUCCUCAGCAUCGCAGCUUGACCAAGCGUCUAUAUUACCUGUGGAUGUGGACGGACAGCUCCUUUAGCUUCAUGGCCUUCUUCUUCACCUUCAUGGCCCAACUGGUCAUUAGCAUCAUCCAGGCUGUGGGGAUUCUAGGCUGGGGUGUCUGUGCCUGGAUCGCCACCAUCUCCUUCUUCGGGACAAACAUUGGCUCGGCAGUGGUGAUGCUCAUUCCCACGGUCAUGUUUACAGUGGUGGCUGUCUUUUCCUUCAUCACCCUUAACAUGGUUCAUAAGUUCUACCGGGGCAGCGGGGGCAGUUUCAGUAAAGCUCAGGAGGAGUGGACCACUGGCGCAUGGAAGAACCCACAUGUGCAGCAGGCAGCCCAGAAUGCAGCCAUGGGGGCUGCACAGGGUGCCAUGAAUCAACCGCAGACUCAAUAUUCUGCCACCCCCAACUACACAUACUCUAACCGAGAUGUGAGCCAGUUAAGCCCACCAGAAGGCAGGGCUGGGGGCCAGUGGGACAGGGGGCUCAAGCCACAUCAUCUGUGUGGUGACCAAGCAGGGUUCCCCUUUCCCUUUUCUCCUUCCCAACUUUGUACAAAGAAUCAUAUAUAUAUAUAUAUGUGUGUAUCCUCCUUUAGCUACUCCGUGUUUCCUGUGGUGCUGGGCCAUGUUAACUGUAAGGGCACUGCGGGAACAGAGGUUUAUGUAAACCUGGAUAAACGCAAUGAGCAGUAA
Non-coding RNA from Myodes glareolus (Bank vole), 963 nucleotides. Lineage: Eukaryota; Metazoa; Chordata; Mammalia; Rodentia; Cricetidae. The record is from RefSeq and is a predicted model, not a curated record.